GACGAACGCUGGCGGCGUGCUUAACACAUGCAAGUCGAACGGAAAGGCCCUGGUUUGGUGGGGUGCUCGAGUGGCGAACGGGUGAGUAACACGUGAGUGACCUGCCCUGCACUUUGGGAUAACUUCAGGAAACUGGGGCUAAUACCGGAUAGGAGCAUCGUGUGGAUGGUGGGGGUGGGAAUGUUUCCGCGGUGGGGGAUGGACGCGCGGCUUAUCAGUGUGUGGGUGGGGUAGUGGCUUACCAAGGCCUGGACGGGUAGCCGGCCUGAGAGGGUGGCCGGCCACAUUGGGACUGAGAUACGGCCCAGACUCCUACGGGAGGCAGCAGUGGGGAAUAUUGCACAAUGGGCGGAAGCCUGAUGCAGCGACGCCGCGUGGGGGAUGACGGCCUUCGGGUUGUAAACCGCUUUCGCCUGUGACGAAGCGUGAGUGACGGUAAUGGGAGAAGAAGCACCGGCUAGCUACGUG
RNAcentral lists this ribosomal RNA (468 nucleotides) under uncultured bacterium. Its description in RNAcentral is "partial 16S ribosomal RNA". It matches the Rfam family "Bacterial small subunit ribosomal RNA", at positions 28 to 507 of the family's 1533-position model. The record is from RNAcentral.